This 93-nucleotide ribosomal RNA is filed under the name Clostridiales bacterium 52_15. RNAcentral describes it as "partial 16S ribosomal RNA". It matches the Rfam family "Bacterial small subunit ribosomal RNA", at positions 1450 to 1533 of the family's 1533-position model. The record is from RNAcentral. Lineage: Bacteria; Bacillati; Bacillota; Clostridia; Eubacteriales.
ACGCGGCCGAAGGUGGGUUUGGUAAUUGGGGUGAAGUCGUAACAAGGUAGCCGUUCGAGAACGAGCGGCUGGAUCACCUCCUUUCUAAGGAGA